CACUGAUCUGGAUUAGCCUGAACCUUCGCACAAGAUUCACACAACUGAUCUUGCACAACAUAUUCGACAGUGUAAGCUUGUUCAAGUAUUGCUCCAUGAAGAACCUCUUUUUGGACCUUCAACUUGAUUUUAAUCCUCUUGGAAUGAGGUUCGGUCCAAAUGAACUCUGCAUGCACCAUUCGAACAGUGUUCAAAUUCUUCAGCCUCUUCACACAGAAGGUCAGCAGCUCUUUCGACUCAAGUUCUGCUUUGACCCAAGUCCUCGGAGGUUGCAGAAAGCAGUUACAUUCAGGGCAAAAAAUGAUAAUAACAUGCUUCUGAAGGCCUUCAGUUAUGUCAAUUUCAGAGCGCAGGCAGUUGGCACACAUAUUUGCAGCAUUUGGUUGCAUCAAUAUGCCGCACUUGCAGCAUAAGACGCUGCCAAUAGUCUGUGGCACAGUAAACAUACCCGCUCCUUGUGCCAUAGCUACAUAAGCAAUUUACAAGAUGACAAGUUAACAGAUCGAAAGAUGAAAGUUGAUGAAUCAUGGCAUCUGGCAAAUUAAGUUUACAAGAGAAACCCUAUAAUAAUCACUCCAUAAAAUCAAAAUCAAAGAUAAACUUGAAAUUAGGGUUCGCAAAUGCAGUGAAGUUUACUGUAACUCUGUAGCUGAGGAACAAACUGUAUACCGCUAAAUCAGUUUAUUAGCUCAAAUCUUCUCGCAUAUAAAGCAUGGUAUUACAAAAUUCAAGAGGUAAACAUGAUUGGAAGUUGAGAACCACGUUUAUAAUACAACUAAUCACCAAUGAAAAUGAUUAUGUUCUCAUGUGAUGUUUUAGAAAAUCAACACAAAGCUUCGACUUUAAUCCGAAAUAGAAGUAAAUUUCUACGGCGACUCCAUUUACAACAGAUAACAUACCAAACGAAACAAGUUAAAAAAUAAAUAACGACAAAAAUAAAACAAAAAAAACAAGAAUUACGAAGACGAGGGAGAGAGAGAAUACCAAGCUUUAGUUAUGUUGUGAUUGGUGCGUAGAGGAGGAAACGGACUGCAGAUUUUAUAGUAUGAUGAUGAGAGUGAGUGAAAAUGGGACGGCGUCGGAGGGCCGGCGCAAACACAGAGAGAGAGACGCGGUUUAGCUUAAAAGGGCUGGUGGAGAUGUAUUUGUUUUUAGGUUUGGACUGGGCUGACAACUUAUUCACGGCCCAUCUUUUUAUCACUAUUUGCAGAUUCUACUUAUUCUGGGCCCAAUUUUGUACGAGAAAGGGCAUCCAGUAGUAGUGCUACACAUGACAUGGGCCACCUAAACAAUUACCUUAUACUCCCUCCGUUCAUGAAAGAACUUCCUAGGAGGGAGUGGCACGGGUUUUAAGAAAAAAUAUUGUUGAGUGUAUUGAAAGUGGAUAAAAGGUAGUUGAGUGUAUUGGGAGUGGUGAAAAGGUGUUAUAAUUAAUAUUGGGAAUUGUGAAAAGUGAAAAGUAAGAGGAUUAUAAGUGGUGGGUAUAGUCCAUAAAUAGGUAGGAAGUUCUUUUGUGAACGUCCAAAAAAUGAAAGAUAAGGAAGUUCUUUACGUGGACGGAGGGAGUAUUUUUUUUAGAAUUAACANUAAGCAAACCCAUAAGGAAAAUCAUAACAAGGAAAAAAGCCAUGAUAUAAUGAAUUACAGGUUUUUUAUGAUCUUCCAUUUAAUAUGCAUAUUGUAUAUUUAAUAUUUUAUCUAAAGUAAAAUUGUGCAAAAAGAAAAAAAAAAGUUUGUGCAAAGAAUAAAAAGGAAGAAAGUUAAGACACUAAAAAAAAUUAUAAAUGAUGAUAACCUUUUAAUUGAAUUUAUUCACACUUCUCUAUUUUUAUACUUCCUCCGUCCGCAAUAUCGUUUCCACAUUGUGGCGACGCGGGUUUUAAGAAAAUUGAUGGAUAGUAGUAGAUAGUAGUGAACAUUGUAGUGAGUGGAGUUUGGGUUCCACUAUUAUUGUGAGUGGAAGUUUGUGGUACCUACUUCUAUAUAAUUGAUAUUACACGGAUUCAGUUGAACCAUUUCAUAUAUGAGGAUUGAAUAAAAUAAAAACUUAUUAUAAAUUAAAUCAGAAGUCAUUUUCAAUAUUUAAAUCUUAAAAAUCUGCUUGGAAUCCAUCACCUUCAUAAAUCUUCACAGAACUUAAUUAAACAACUCUCUAUAUGGAGACUCGAUAAAAAAAUUGAAAAAUCAAAUGAAAAAUAAUAAAAAAUUAUUUUCAAUGUUUAAAUCGUGAAGAUCUAACGUGAAUAAAUUUGUCACUUUGCUAAAUGGAUUCUGACGAGGAGUGAAGUAAGGAGAUGACUGAGAUAAUAGCGUGUAUGCUAAGGUGGCAAAAACGUUGAACAGAGGAGACGGAAUGCCAACAGACUAAAGAGAAAGUCAACGAUAAAUCCAAGACUUGAGCAAAGUCAAAUUUCAGAGGAGAAGAAUACCGCUAUGAGGCAGAGCAGGACAGAAGGAAGAGUUUCAAGUACUGUCGUAGACAACUCUGCCCCGAUUUGGUGACGUCAUCCGAAUCUGACACCUCAAUUCCAGCUCUGCAAGACGCAUGAUUUAGUUAGGAAAUUAUCAUUUUAUCCCUUUAAUCUCGUAUCUUAUAAAUAAGUGUACUUUUCCGUUCCAUUUUCGUCAUCAUUUACACUUGUGCAGGUAAUCCACUAUUUACAUUGAAAUCCCACGUUAUAAUUCAACAGAUUCGUAAUCUCAAAUUCAAACUUCUCAUUCGAACCAAUAAGAGAAGGGAUUAAAUCACAUAUAAACACACUUUAGUAUAAAAAAAUAAGAACCAAUCCUCAGCCUCACUCAAUCUCGUUUCAUUUGGAAACGGACCACUUGUACUGAAAGAAGCUUGGUUUUUUUCACCAAUUGAAAUUUGAACCAAAGUGUUGAUUAUCUACAUGAUUUAUUAUAGUACUAUGUUUUACUGAGCGUGCAAAAUAGCUGAACAGAGGCAUUUGCUCUUCCAAAAUAAAUAGCAUGACAUUAUCAAUUUAUCAUCACAAGAUACUUGCAAAAACAGGUCAAAAAAUCGAAUGGAAGGUGCAGAUUAUCACUAGGCACAACCAAUAUGCAUAAAAAAGAUGAACUAGUCAUAAAAGAAGAGUGACAGCCUGCAAACACACUUCAGAAUAUAUUAGACAGGACUCCAAAGUUAUUCCACCAUUUCAUCCUCAGCUUCCUCAUCAGCUAGAUCAAGAUCUGCAAGCAGCUCAUCUAACGGAACAGAAGGAACAUCCUCACCAUCAGUCACGGAGGCCAUUGAUGGCUCGUAUUCUUUAUUGCGGUACAGGGAUAGAUUGAAUCUCAAAUCAGGAUUCUCUUCAAGAUCUCUCAAGAACUGUUCGUACUCCGUGUUCAUCUUCUCCUCAUGAUCUCUAGCUCUGGUAGAAUCGUCGACCUCCAUGUUGAGAGACUUGAGCUUCCAUGAACGAGACUUGCGCUGUCUCUGUUGGCGCUUCUCUUCAUAGCUCUUUUUAAUCAAUAUGACAUCAGGGAUAUCACCUCUGUAUUUGUCCAGUUCAAAAUCAUUACUAUUGGCACUGUACAGGUCAUAACCAAGAGCAUAAUCCCCACAACUCAAGAGAUGCCCCAAAUGUGUUCUCACAAUGAACUGUCGGUCAUUCUGCCCCAUAUCUGAUACGCGUGCUACAUGGGCAUCAGCCAAAACAUAUUUUGAUCCACCAUUGUUCUCUUCAGAAUGAACCUCCUCCAUAUCUAGUAUUAUGUAUUCUGUAAGCUGUCUGCUUGAUAAUAAGGCCUUAAAAGAUGAUCUCCAAUACUGCUCAGCAUCCAAGAAGCAUUGCCUGAGGGUCCGUGGAUCUAAUAGAGCUAUGCUGUUGCUUACUUUAGUGCAUAUCACUAGUGGUCCGAGAUUUCCCAAACUAACAGAGACUUUAGGUGGAAGACAAAUCAGAUCUUCACGACAGAUAGGACUAAUUUCAACAGAGAAAGUGUACUUGUAAUUGUAAGUAUUGCUCUUUGAGUCCUGAGACACAAGUUGCUUAUCCGUACGGCUCCUAGUUGGUGCUACUUUACCAACGAACUCAACAAACUUCACGCCAUGACUACGUUUACCGAAGAAGAAAUCAAUACCAUGAUCCAUCUGCUUAAUUCUGAUGGCAUCUUUAGCAGCGUCGUGCUUAAGGAUGAGCUGCUCCAGGUAGAAAAAAGUGCGCCUGUGAGAAACAUGCUGUCGCAAUUGUACUGCAGCAACCCACUGAUCUGGAUUAGCCUGAACCUUCGCACAAGAUUCACACAACUGAUCUUGCACAACAUAUUCGACAGUGUAAGCUUGUUCAAGUAUUGCUCCAUGAAGAACCUCUUUUUGGACCUUCAACUUGAUUUUAAUCCUCUUGGAAUGAGGUUCGGUCCAAAUGAACUCUGCAUGCACCAUUCGAACAGUGUUCAAAUUCUUCAGCCUCUUCACGCAGAAGGUCAGCAGCUCUUUCGACUCAAGUUCUGCUUUGACCCAAGUCCUCGGAGGUUGCAGAAAGCAGUUACAUUCAGGGCAAAAAAUGAUAAUAACAUGCUUCUGAAGGCCUUCAGUUAUGUCAAUUUCAGAGCGCAGGCAGUUGGCACACAUAUUUGCAGCAUUUGGUUGCAUCAAUAUGCCGCACUUGCAGCAUAAGAC
Molecule: long non-coding RNA, 4627 nt
Filed under: Salvia miltiorrhiza (redroot sage)
Lineage: Eukaryota; Viridiplantae; Streptophyta; Magnoliopsida; Lamiales; Lamiaceae
Description: long non-coding RNA (SMIL_LNC005842)
Source: RNAcentral